This 460-nucleotide ribosomal RNA is filed under the name uncultured bacterium. RNAcentral's name for it is "partial 16S ribosomal RNA". It matches the Rfam family "Bacterial small subunit ribosomal RNA", at positions 338 to 795 of the family's 1533-position model. The record is from RNAcentral.
CCUACGGGCGGCAGCAGUGAGGAAUAUUGGUCAAUGGACGAAAGUCUGAACCAGCCAAGUAGCGUGCAGGAUGACUGCCCUACGGGUUGUAAACUUCUUUUAUACAGGAAUAAAACGAGGCACGUGUGCCUUUUUGCAUGUACCUUAUGAAUAAGGAUCGGCUAACUCCGUGCCAGCAGCCGCGGUAAUACGGAGGAUCCGAGCGUUAUCCGGAUUUAUUGGGUUUAAAGGGAGCGUAGAUGGGUUGUUAAGUCAGUUGUGAAAGGUUGCGGCUCAACCGUAAAAUUGCAAUUGAUACUGGCAGUCUUGAGUACGGUGGAGGUAGGCGGAAUUCGUGGUGUAGCGGUGAAAUGCUUAGAUAUCACGAAGAACCCCGAUUGCGAAGGCAGCUUACUAAACUGUGACUGACAUUGAUGCUCGAAAGUGUGGGUAUCAAACAGGAUUAGAUACCCUUGUAGUC